RNAcentral lists this ribosomal RNA (492 nucleotides) under uncultured bacterium. RNAcentral's name for it is "bacterial SSU rRNA". It matches the Rfam family "Bacterial small subunit ribosomal RNA", at positions 30 to 517 of the family's 1533-position model. The record is from RNAcentral.
AUUGAACGCUGGCGGAAUGCUUUACACAUGCAAGUCGAACGGCAGCACGGGGGCAACCCUGGUGGCGAGUGGCGAACGGGUGAGUAAUACAUCGGAACGUGCCCAGUCGUGGGGGAUAACGUAGCGAAAGUUACGCUAAUACCGCAUACGAUCUACGGAUGAAAGCGGGGGAUCGCAAGACCUCGCGCGAUUGGAGCGGCCGAUGUCAGAUUAGGUAGUUGGUGGGGUAAAGGCUCACCAAGCCGACGAUCUGUAGCUGGUCUGAGAGGACGACCAGCCACACUGGGACUGAGACACGGCCCAGACUCCUACGGGAGGCAGCAGUGGGGAAUUUUGGACAAUGGGCGCAAGCCUGAUCCAGCCAUUCCGCGUGCAGGAUGAAGGCCCUCGGUUGUAACUGCUUUUGUACGGAACGAAACGGCGCUCUCUAAUACAGGGCGCUAAUGACGGUACCGUAAGAAUAAGCACCGGCUAACUACGUGCCAGCAGCCG